CCUAGCUAAGGUACAAGCAACUGCUUACAAAGAAAAUCACGUUUCCAGAGAACAUGAGAUACAGAAGGUCAAACACAGGAUCCCAAGCAGCAGAGAGGGUGCAGCCACAGUGCAUGGAUCAGCUGUGUGUGCAAUGGAGUUAACCUCAUUUCCAGCCCCGCAGGAGGAGAUGAGGACAAACCAACAGCUCUGCUGUGAUGACAGCGACUAGAGAACAUAAAACCUUUCUCCAAAAGCAGUCUCCGUCUCUGAAAGGAAGCCCAGUCCUGCAGGGAGUGCUUCAACCCCUCUGAGGAGUGUGCAGCCUUGGGACAGUCUGUAAAAGGAGCUCACAGAAAGCUUCUCUGUGUCCCAAAAAAUCAUCUUUGGCCAGAGCAGCAUUGUACCUCAUCCUGGCUGAGGGGAGAGGGCUCAGCAAU
Cyanistes caeruleus (blue tit) is the source of this 419-nucleotide long non-coding RNA. RefSeq lists it as uncharacterized. Lineage: Eukaryota; Metazoa; Chordata; Aves; Passeriformes; Paridae. The record is from RefSeq and is a predicted model, not a curated record.